Molecule: transfer RNA, 71 nt
Filed under: Enterobacter cloacae
Lineage: Bacteria; Pseudomonadati; Pseudomonadota; Gammaproteobacteria; Enterobacterales; Enterobacteriaceae
Description: tRNA-Phe
Rfam family: tRNA
About the family: Transfer RNA (tRNA) molecules are approximately 80 nucleotides in length. Their secondary structure includes four short double-helical elements and three loops (D, anti-codon, and T loops). Further hydrogen bonds mediate the characteristic L-shaped molecular structure. tRNAs have two regions of fundamental functional importance: the anti-codon, which is responsible for specific mRNA codon recognition, and the 3' end, to which the tRNAs corresponding amino acid is attached (by aminoacyl-tRNA synthetases). tRNAs cope with the degeneracy of the genetic code in two manners: having more than one tRNA (with a specific anti-codon) for a particular amino acid; and 'wobble' base-pairing, i.e. permitting non-standard base-pairing at the 3rd anti-codon position.
Source: RNAcentral
GUUCGGAUAGCUCAGUCGGUGACAGGGGAUUGAAAAUCGUGUCCUUGGUUCGAUUCCGAGUCCGGGCACCA